Molecule: ribosomal RNA, 431 nt
Filed under: uncultured bacterium
Lineage: Bacteria
Description: bacterial SSU rRNA
Rfam family: Bacterial small subunit ribosomal RNA
Source: RNAcentral
GGGCCCGCACAAGCGGUGGAGUAUGUGGUUUAAUUCGAUGAUACGCGAGGAACCUUACCAGGGUUUAAAUGCAGAACGACAGGGGUGGAAACACCCCCUUCUUCGGACGGACUGCAAGGUGCUGCAUGGUUGUCGUCAGCUCGUGCUGUGAAGUGUCGGGUUAAGUCCUAUAACGAGCGCAACCCCCCAUCGUUAGUUGCCAACGAGUAAUGUCGGGAACUCUAACGAAACUGCCGGUGCAAACCGUGAGGAAGGUGGGGAUGACGUCAAAUCAUCACGGCCCUUACGUCCUGGGCUACACACGUACUACAAUGCUACGGACAAAGGGCUGCAAGUUCGCGAGGACAAGCAAAUCCCAUAAACCGUGGCUCAGUUCAGAUCGUAGGCUGCAACUCGCCUACGUGAAGGCGGAAUCGCUAGUAAUCGCAGGU